UCCAGAUCCAGGCCCCGGAGCCCCCGUGCACACAGAUGUGCAGGCAGGGAGGAGUGGGACUGAGCUGGUGUGCGUACAGGGCAGGAGACAGCCCCUGCAGCGUUGUUACUUCUGAAAUGCCAGAACCCUGCAGCACCCAACUGCUUGCAUCUUUCUGUACCCUGUUCUGCCUCCUUGCUCUGGAUAUGGGAUAAAGAGGAGAGACCACAGGUAAAUCCAGGCUUCUUGAACAGGAUCCCGAUGACUAUGAACUACUAGAACCCUGAUUUUUGAAAGGGCAAAGCCCACGGGAAUGGCGAGUGCGUCUAAGCUGCAGCAGCAGUCUUGGUUAAGGAAGAACGCAACCUAAACUUCC
This is a non-coding RNA of Struthio camelus australis, 355 nucleotides long. The record is from RefSeq and is a predicted model, not a curated record. NCBI's taxonomy places the organism in Eukaryota, Metazoa, Chordata, Aves, Struthioniformes, Struthionidae.